Molecule: non-coding RNA, 26 nt
Filed under: Homo sapiens (human)
Lineage: Eukaryota; Metazoa; Chordata; Mammalia; Primates; Hominidae
Source: RNAcentral
UUGACCUCUGAUGAGCCAGCCUGGAA